CGUCAAAUCAGCACGGCCCUUACGUCCGGGGCGACACACGUGUUACAAUGGAUGGUACAGAGGGUCGCUACCCCGCGAGGGGAUGCCAAUCUCGAAAGCCAUUCUCAGUUCGGAUCGGAGGCUGAAACUCGCCUCCGUGAAGUUGGAUUCGCUAGUAAUCGCGCAUCAGCCAUGGCGCGGUGAAUACGUUCCCGGGCCUU
RNAcentral lists this ribosomal RNA (200 nucleotides) under uncultured prokaryote. RNAcentral describes it as "partial 16S ribosomal RNA". It matches the Rfam family "Bacterial small subunit ribosomal RNA", at positions 1183 to 1382 of the family's 1533-position model. The record is from RNAcentral.